This is a long non-coding RNA of Sinocyclocheilus rhinocerous, 532 nucleotides long. RefSeq lists it as uncharacterized. Lineage: Eukaryota; Metazoa; Chordata; Actinopteri; Cypriniformes; Cyprinidae. The record is from RefSeq and is a predicted model, not a curated record. The transcript is spliced from 3 exons.
CUUUUUUGUAAUAUAUAAAAACAGGAAUAUAAAUAAAUAAAAGUGGAACAGAAUAAUGGUAAUAGAUUGUUAGCUUAUAGAUUGUGUGCACUGAUGCCACUUAAGUUUAAUACCAAACGGUCUUUUUAUAGUGCAUUUCUGUAAACGUUCACAGUUAUUGUUUAUGUAUAUAUACUGUAUAUUCAGUGCACUACAAAAAAAUAAAGAACACACUAUUUAUAUAGUGCAUUCCUAACAUUUUCAGAACUUAUUGUGUAACAACAUGGAACAAUAAAAUAUAUUUAAAAAAAUGUCUUUUUCAUUUAGUCAUGAAUUUCAAAUGUAUUAGUUGAUUUGGCAAGAGAGUAAAUUCUCAUUCAAUUACUGGAAUUAAUUGCUUCGAAUUAUUCAAAUGCACUAUAAGAUCUGCAUAUUAGUCAUUUAAGUUUUUACAUGUAUUUAAAUCUCAUGAUUCCAUGUUGUAACAAUAAAAUAGGUACCUUUAAUAGGCACUGCGUGUAGUGAAAUAUAUACAUACACAUACUGUACAGUA